This is a long non-coding RNA of Macrobrachium nipponense, 638 nucleotides long. RefSeq lists it as uncharacterized. Lineage: Eukaryota; Metazoa; Arthropoda; Malacostraca; Decapoda; Palaemonidae. The transcript has 3 exons. The record is from RefSeq and is a predicted model, not a curated record.
UCGUUGCAGACCACCAUAUUCAGGCAACGGUUAUACCUGCAACGACAUUGUAUGCGGGCCCCCUGCCAAAAUGAUCGAAGGACUUGGAUGCGUGAUUCCUGUGAGGGAAAGCAUGAUAUGGACCAGAGCAAGAGAUUACUGCUACCAAUUAGGAUUUAGACUCCUUGAGGGGAUCACGAAUACCGACCAGCUAAAUCAGUUAAAGGAGCACUUUGACCGGGGUGUCUUCAGUUUCCCACAAACAGCACAUGACGUGUGGUUAGGAAUCAAAGACAACAGGUGGGUGGAAGGACCCUAUACCCGAGUCCCACCUAACAUGUGGAACCAAGGUCAGCCUAAUGAAUCGGAUUCCUGUGGGUAUGUUGCUCUGCAGAUAUCGCCCCCUACACUCUGGGAUGGCAAGUGUCUUACGUAUUCAAUACCCUUCUUCUGUCAGGCAAUGCUUGAUUGAGAAAAUAUUUGUAAGCGUGCAGUUGCUUUCAGCUUCGUGGGGAAUUGUUAUUUUCUGACUCUUCAUUUAUACUUAACCCUGCUUGUAUAUCUUAGAAAUCAAUGUUAGCCCAUUUUCAAAUGGGCUAACUGCACCAUCUCAAUUGUAAUUGAGACGGUGCAGUUGUUAUCAAUUUGAAGGAGAAUUG